RNAcentral lists this long non-coding RNA (214 nucleotides) under Mytilus galloprovincialis (Mediterranean mussel). Lineage: Eukaryota; Metazoa; Mollusca; Bivalvia; Mytilida; Mytilidae. The record is from RNAcentral.
AAUGGACUGUAGAAGUCCAGAUUACAAUAAUGGUACUUUCAGCACCAUUGCACGGUUUGGUUGUCUUGCCCAGCUCUUAAUGGUCCAAAAUGCUGUACAAUGGAUUAUGUUUUAAAAAUUGAAGAUAAAAGAUUAAGUUUUGAAUAUCUUCUUUUUUUCUCUGAAGAUGGCAAAUCAAAUUAUUAAUUCACGAGCUCUAGAUAAUAAAAAUAUC